UACGUAGGGUGCAAGCGUUGUCCGGAAUUAUUGGGCGUAAAGGGCGCGUAGGCGGUCGUGACAAGUCACUUGUGAAAUCUCCGGGCUUAACUCGGAACGGUCAAGUGAUACUGUCGAACUAGAGUACAGAAGGGGCAACUGGAAUUCUCGGUGUAGCGGUGAAAUGCGUAGAUAUCGAGAGGAACACCUGCGGCGAAGGCGGGUUGCUGGGCUGAUACUGACGCUGAGGCGCGAAAGCCAGGGGAGCGAACGGG
RNAcentral lists this ribosomal RNA (254 nucleotides) under uncultured bacterium. Its description in RNAcentral is "partial 16S ribosomal RNA". It matches the Rfam family "Bacterial small subunit ribosomal RNA", at positions 524 to 776 of the family's 1533-position model. The record is from RNAcentral.